Molecule: ribosomal RNA, 467 nt
Filed under: uncultured bacterium
Lineage: Bacteria
Description: partial 16S ribosomal RNA
Rfam family: Bacterial small subunit ribosomal RNA
Source: RNAcentral
GACGAACGCUGGCGGCGUGCUUAACACAUGCAAGUCGAACGGAAAGGCCUCUUUCGGGGGGUACUCGAGUGGCGAACGGGUGAGUAACACGUGAGUAACCUGCCCUUGACUUUGGGAUAACUUCAGGAAACUGGGGCUAAUACCGGAUAGGAGCUCCUGCUGCAUGGUGGGGGUUGGAAAGUUUCGGCGGUUGGGGAUGGACUCGCGGCUUAUCAGCUUGUUGGUGGGGUAGUGGCUUACCAAGGCUUUGACGGGUAGCCGGCCUGAGAGGGUGACCGGCCACAUUGGGACUGAGAUACGGCCCAGACUCCUACGGGAGGCAGCGGUGGGGAAGAUUGCACAAUGGGUGGAAGCCUGAUGCAGCAACGCCGUGUGCGGGAUGACGGCCUUCGGGUUGUAAACCGCUUUCGCUCAUGACGAAGCUUUGUGUGACGGUAGUGGGUAAAGAAGCACCGGCUAACUACGUG